GCCUGGGUGGCUCAGUCGGUUAAGCGUCCGACUUCGGCUCAGGUCAUGAUCUCGCGGUCUGUGGGUUCGAGCCCCGCCUCAGGCU
This 85-nucleotide transfer RNA is filed under the name Felis catus (domestic cat). It matches the Rfam family "tRNA". Rfam says of the family: Transfer RNA (tRNA) molecules are approximately 80 nucleotides in length. The record is from Rfam by way of RNAcentral. Lineage: Eukaryota; Metazoa; Chordata; Mammalia; Carnivora; Felidae.